This 362-nucleotide long non-coding RNA is filed under the name Arabidopsis thaliana (thale cress). Its description in RNAcentral is "long non-coding RNA (ATHA_LNC000709)". Lineage: Eukaryota; Viridiplantae; Streptophyta; Magnoliopsida; Brassicales; Brassicaceae. The record is from RNAcentral.
UGCAACUCUUUGGCGAUUAUCUGGCAGAGUUCCAGAAGCAUUAUUCCUUCUUUGUCGAUUAGGUGGAGGUGGACCAAUGUUAUCACUCCUUUGGUGCUGGUUCUCAGGAGCAUUAUUUCUUCUAUGUCGAUAAGGUUGAGGUGGACCACUGUUAUCACUCCUUUGAUGCUGGUUAUCAGGCGCAUUAUAUCUUCUAUGUUGAUUAGGUUGAGGUGGACCAAUGUUAUCACUCCUUUGAUGCUGGUUAUCAGGCGCAUUAUAUCUUCUAUGUUGAUUAGGUGGAGGUGGACCAAUGUUACUACUCCUUUGGUGGUGGUUAUAGGACGGAGGACCAGAAGCGUUAUGCUGCCUUUGCAGAUAAA